RNAcentral lists this non-coding RNA (269 nucleotides) under [Clostridium] hylemonae. Its description in RNAcentral is "Clostridium hylemonae T-box sequence". It matches the Rfam family "T-box leader". From Rfam's summary of the family: Uncharged tRNA acts as the effector for transcription antitermination of genes in the T-box leader family. T-boxes are found upstream of many aminoacyl-tRNA synthetase genes and some amino acid biosynthetic genes usually in Gram-positive bacteria. The record is from RNAcentral. Lineage: Bacteria; Bacillati; Bacillota; Clostridia; Lachnospirales; Lachnospiraceae.
AGAAAUGCUAUGACAAGGAGGAGUACAUGAUCCCCUGAUGCAAAGAGAGAAGAUGGCCGGUGAGAAUCUUCGUGACGGAAUUAUGGAAGUAGCCUUUGAGCAGUGAACCGAAAGGACACAAUAAGAUGUCUCAGUAGACUUCAACGCAUUCCCAGCGUUAACAGGGAACAAUAUCGGAGAUGAGAGAAACGUCUCCUGUAUUGGCUGAGUGCAGAGAGCGCAGUUCUCUGAAAUUAGGUGGUAACACGGAUGUAAUAUUCGCCCUAAGC